AGUGAACGCUGGCGGUAGGCCUAACACAUGCAAGUCGAACGGCAGCACAGUAAGAGCUUGCUCUUACGGUUGGCGAGUGGCGGACGGGUGAGGAAUACAUCGGAAUCUACUUUUUCGUGGGGGAUAACGUAGGGAAACUUACGCUAAUACCGCAUACGACCUACGGGUGAAAGCAGGGGAUCUUCGGACCUUGCGCGAUUGAAUGAGCCGAUGUCGGAUUAGCUAGUUGGCGGGGUAAAGGCCCACCAAGGCGACGAUCCGUAGCUGGUCUGAGAGGAUGAUCAGCCACACUGGAACUGAGACACGGUCCAGACUACUACGGGAGGCAGCAGUGGGGAAUAUUGGACAAUGGGCGCAAGCCUGAUACAGCCAUACCGAGUGGGUGAAGAAGGCCUUCGGGUUGUAAAGCCCUUUUGUUGGGAAAGAAAAGCAGCAGGUUAAUACCCCGCUGUUCUGACGGUACCCAAAGAAUAAGCACCGGCUAACUUCGUG
This 492-nucleotide ribosomal RNA is filed under the name uncultured bacterium. RNAcentral's name for it is "partial 16S ribosomal RNA". It matches the Rfam family "Bacterial small subunit ribosomal RNA", at positions 29 to 507 of the family's 1533-position model. The record is from RNAcentral.